Molecule: long non-coding RNA, 1030 nt
Filed under: Papio anubis (olive baboon)
Lineage: Eukaryota; Metazoa; Chordata; Mammalia; Primates; Cercopithecidae
Description: lncRNA (ENSPANG00000046796.1)
Source: RNAcentral
AUGAGGCAUGUAAGUGAGGUCAUAAAGGUCUUACAGGAAUGGUGUCCUUUUAAGAAAAGGAAGAUACACCAGAACUGUCUCUUUACAGGCACAGAAGAAAGGUCAUCUGCAACCAAAGGAGACAGACAUCAACAGACUCUGACUGUACUGGCCAUUGAUCUUGCCUUCCAGUGCCCCACACCUACCUGAAAAAGGAAGGUCUACUGAAUCUCUACUAGUAGACACCAUUGAUCUCCACUGAUUUACAAGAAUAAUAAUGUGAAACCAAUGAAAACAUGAUGGCAUGCAGCACAGACGGAAGGUUAGUAGUUUUCACAGUAUUAUAGUCUGAAAUCCACCUGUCUCAAAACAACUUGUCAAAGUGUUAGAUCUCUUGUCAUCAUUUCAAACCACUUGAUUUGAUGUCUCUAGUAGUGUGUGCCAGGAAUCUGCACUUAACAAGUUGCCUCAUGCCAUUCUGAUCAUUUUUAAGGCUUAAAAGCUACUGCUACGGAUUGGGAUAAGUGAUCAAGUUUGGCUGGAGCUGUCUUUAACCUGAGGAACGAGUGGAUCAGAGAGCAGCUGACCUCACAGAACCAUGGUUCAGUGACUCAUUCAGACGUGUCCUUGAGUAAUUGUUCUGGAUUUCCUCGGUGGUAGCAAAGUGAACUCAUGAGGUACUGGUCCAGAAAAGAACACUAGUGACUAUGCCCAUUGUCUCUACUUAGAAGUGUUUUGGAACCUUGUUUCCCACCCCAGAAUAAGUUGAUGGCAGUUAUGGCAUGGGCUGAUCUACCCAGUCAGCAAGGCCAUACUGCAGAGAAACUCAGAGUCUAAGAAAAUGAAGAAUAUAUCAUUGAGAUUAAUGGCCCUGGGUUGCAGUCAAAAGCAUCUCAGAGGUUAGUUGAGGACAAAAAUAAGUUUGUCUUUCAAUCCAUCACCAGCAGACUAGACACAUUGAAGCAAGAAGUGUUCACAGAAGUGAUAGGGCAUUGAACUAAUGCUUAAAUUUAAUUUAGCCUGUAACUAUUUAUAAAACAUGUCUAGCCUC